GACGAACGCUGGCGGCGUGCUUAACACAUGCAAGUCGAACGGUAAGGCCCUUCGGGGUACACGAGUGGCGAACGGGUGAGUAACACGUGGGUGAUCUGCCCUGCACUUCGGGAUAAGCCUGGGAAACUGGGCCUAAUACCGGAUAGGACCACUGCCUGCAUGGGGGGUGGUGGAAAGCUUUUGCGGUGUGGGAUGGGCCCGCGGCCUAUCAGCUUGUUGGUGGGGUGAUGGCCUACAAAGGGGACGACGGGUAGCCGGCCUGGGAGGGUGACCCGCCACACUGGGACUGAGAUACGGCCCAGACUCUUACGGGAGGCAGCAGUGGGGAAUAUUGCACAAUGGGCGCAAGCCUGAUGCAGCGACGCCGCGUGAGGGAUGACGGCCUUCGGGUUGUAAACCUCUUUCAGCACAGACGAAGCGCAAGUGACGGUAUGUGCAGAAGAAGGACCGGCCAACUACGUGCCAGCCGCCGCCGUAA
RNAcentral lists this ribosomal RNA (478 nucleotides) under uncultured bacterium. RNAcentral describes it as "partial 16S ribosomal RNA". It matches the Rfam family "Bacterial small subunit ribosomal RNA", at positions 28 to 523 of the family's 1533-position model. The record is from RNAcentral.